This 368-nucleotide ribosomal RNA is filed under the name uncultured organism. RNAcentral's name for it is "bacterial SSU rRNA". It matches the Rfam family "Bacterial small subunit ribosomal RNA", at positions 526 to 896 of the family's 1533-position model. The record is from RNAcentral.
CGAAGGAUGCAAGCGUUAUCCGGAUUCAUUGGGUUUAAAGGGAGCGUAGGCGGACUUAUAAGUCAGUGGUGAGAUCUCUGGGCUUAACUCAGAAACUGCCAUUGAUACUGUAGGUCUAGAGUACAUUUGCUGUGGGCGGAAUAUGACAUGUAGUGGUGAAAUACUUAGAUAUGUCAUAGAACACCGAUUGCGAAGGCAGCUCACAAAAAUGUAACUGACGCUGAGGCUCGAAAGUGCGGGGAUCAAACAGGAUUAGAUACCCUGGUAGUCCGCACCGUAAACGAUGAUUACUCGCUGCUUGAAGGUAACUUUGAGUGGCUUAGCGAAAGCGAUAAGUAAUCCACCUGGGGAGUACGCCGGCAACGGUG